AUUGAACGCUGGCGGCAUGCCUUACACAUGCAAGUCGAACGGUAACAGGGAGCUUGCUCCGCUGACGAGUGGCGAACGGGUGAGUAAUAUAUCGGAACGUACCUUUGAGUGGGGGAUAACUAGUCGAAAGAUUAGCUAAUACCGCAUACGAUCUACGGAUGAAAGUGGGGGACCCGUAAGGGCCUCAUGCUCAUAGAGCGGCCGAUAUCUGAUUAGCUAGUUGGUGAGGUAAAGGCUCACCAAGGCUUCGAUCAGUAGCUGGUCUGAGAGGACGACCAGCCACACUGGGACUGAGACACGGCCCAGACUCCUACGGGAGGCAGCAGUGGGGAAUUUUGGACAAUGGGGGCAACCCUGAUCCAGCAAUGCCGCGUGAGUGAAGAAGGCCUUCGGGUUGUAAAGCUCUUUUGUCAGGGAAGAAACGGGAUGUUCUAAUACGAUGUCCUAAUGACGGUACCUGAAGAAUAAGCACCGGCUAACUACGUGCCAGCAGCCGCGGUAAUACGUAGGGUGCAAGCGUUAAUCGGAAUUACUGGGCGUAAAGCGUGCGCAGGCGGUUAUGUAAGACAGGUGUGAAAUCCCCGGGCUUAACCUGGGAAUGGCAUUUGUGACUGCAUAGCUAGAGUGUGUCAGAGGGGGGUAGAAUUCCACGUGUAGCAGUGAAAUGCGUAGAGAUGUGGAGGAAUACCGAUGGCGAAGGCAGCCCCCUGGGAUAACACUGACGCUCAU
Molecule: ribosomal RNA, 729 nt
Filed under: arctic soil bacterium S5T5
Lineage: Bacteria
Description: bacterial SSU rRNA
Rfam family: Bacterial small subunit ribosomal RNA
Source: RNAcentral